This 253-nucleotide ribosomal RNA is filed under the name uncultured bacterium. Its description in RNAcentral is "partial 16S ribosomal RNA". It matches the Rfam family "Bacterial small subunit ribosomal RNA", at positions 524 to 776 of the family's 1533-position model. The record is from RNAcentral.
GACGGGGGAUGCAAGCGGUUUCGGGAAUCACUGGGCGUAAAGCGUCUGUAGGUGGUGAUGCAAGUCACUGGUGCAAAACUCUGGCUCAACCGGAGGAAAGCCAGUGAAACUGCAUGACUAGAGUGUGGGAGAGGUAGAAGGAAUUCCCUGAGUAGCGGUGAAAUGCGUAGAUACAGGGAAGAACAUCGGAGGCGAAAGCGUUCUACUGGAACACAACUGACACUGAGAGACGAAAGCUAGGGGAGCGAAUGGG